RNAcentral lists this unclassified non-coding RNA (2519 nucleotides) under Hevea brasiliensis (rubber tree). The record is from RNAcentral. Lineage: Eukaryota; Viridiplantae; Streptophyta; Magnoliopsida; Malpighiales; Euphorbiaceae.
AAAACCCGCGAAAUGAUCCGGGCAAAACCGCUACAACGACGAUUUUCCAUUUCUCAAACUGUUUAUCGGCGGCGAAGCCCGCUUUCUCAGAAUCUCCCUCUUUAAUCUUUCUCUACUUUUCCAUUGCACAUGGAAAGGGAGUUCUAGCCAUGGAAGAGGUGAUUCAACCUAGGUUUGUCAAUUCAGAACCCUAAACUUUGGGCUUCUUCCUUUUUGUAGUGACGCUCAUGGGGAAAAGAAAUAGCGUCGUCAUUUUAUCAUCGGAUGAUGAGGAUGAUGAGAGUUCACUGAGUUCGAAUCGGAGCUAUCCGAAGCCGAAAUCGUUGAUUACUCGUACGAACUCUAGAGAACCGAAGAAGCCUCGAUUUUCUGGUUCUUGGUCUCGCUUAAGCAAAGAAUCUAGCAAUGCAAAUGAGAUCACAUUUCCUUGUGAAGAUUUUGAUGAAUUUUUUUAUGGGUCCAAGGUAUCUGCUGUUUCUGGAAGGAAUAGCAUAAAGGAAUUAUGGGUUGAUAAAUACAUGCCUCGUUCUUUGGACGAACUGACUGUUCACAAGAAGAAGGUUGAAGAAGUCAAAGCGUGGUUUGAGGAAAGAUUGAGAGAUUCAAAGGAAAAUCUUAAAAAUAAUGUUAUUGUCAUCAGUGGGCAAGCUGGUGUCGGAAAAUCUACAACCAUCCAUGUGAUUGCAUCUCAUUUUGGAGCCACUUUAUGUGAAUGGAAUGCACCUACUCCCACGAUUUGGCAAGAACACAUGCAUAAUGCCAGCACAGGGAUACACUACUCAUCCAAGUUGGAUGAAUUUGUGAACUUCAUUGAGAAAAUACGGAAGUAUGGAUUAAUUCCUUCAUCAUUUUCUGCCGAAUCAAAAUCACCAAUUGUACUCUUGAUUGAUGAUCUUCCUGUGACACAUGGAAGAGUUGCUUUUGAAAGACUUCAGAACUGCCUUGUACUUCUUGCGAGAUCAACUCGGAUACCAACAGCUGUACUGAUAACUGACUAUGGUAAAGCAGAUUCAGCAGACCAUACUGCACGUUACAUGGAAGAACUUCAGUUGUCCCUUGAGAGUGCUGGAGCUUGUAAGGUUGCUUUUAACCUGAUUACAAAUAACUCCAUUAAGAAGACACUUUCAAGAAUAUGCAAACAGGAGCAGCGUAAUGUAACUUCUGAACAGAUUGAUCUCAUAGCAAAAGCCAGUGGAGGUGAUAUCAGACAUGCAAUCACAUCUUUACAGCUUUUCUGUGUGAAACCAGAUCUGGGCCUUAGUUUACCAGUGUGCAAUUCUACUCCGAGUUACUCAGAUGGAAACUCACAUGAGAUUAAUGCUUUGAUCAGUGGUUUUUCACUGCUAUUUGGUAGAGAUGAGACACUCUCUCUAUUUCAUGCCUUGGGCAAGUUUCUGCACAAUAAAAGAGAAAAUGAAGCUACAAUGGUAUCAGGUCAUCAUUAUAAACUUGCAUAGCUGUUAAAGUUUAGUAUGUGUGUGAUUUUUCAAAUGCUUGUAGUAUUCAUGUCUUGCAGGCAGUUUAAUGACGCAGUUGUAUAUAUGUCUGCAAAAUUGUUCUCCAUCGAGCUUAAUUUUUUAUUUAUUGUAGACCCAGAUGCAUUUUUUGUGCGGGACAAGUUUGCUCGGUUACCAAUGAGAAUGGAUGCUCCAGAGAAGGUUCUUUGUCAGGCACAUGGGCAGGCAAGGCCAAUUGCUGAUUUUCUGCACGAAAAUGUUUUAGAUUUUAUAAGUGAUGAAGCAAUGGAAGCUGUGUGGGAUGUGGCUUCAUAUUUGAGCGAUUCAGACUUGCUUCUUUCUUCUUUCCAUGGGGUCCUGACUAGAUAUAAUGAGGCAGAGAGUGUUCUGCAAUCAGCUGCUGCUUCAGUUGCUGUUCGCGGUGUGUUGUUCGGAAAUUCUCAUCCUUCACCUUCCAGGUGGCAUACUAUUCGUAGGCCAAAACUUUGGCAAGUUGAGCAAUUGCUAUUGCGGAAUCAGAAAGAUACUGUGAGCCAAAGAUUUAUUGCUAAUGGUGGAUCCAGCUUCUCUAAUUUGUCAGAUGUAGCUACCGAGUACUUGCCUGUGUUAAAAUGGCUUGGGCAUGGAGGCUCCUCAGGUUUUGAAGCUGAUCAUGUGCAUGCUUACAAAGAUGCAUGGGAUGACAGUAUUGAGAAGAUGAGUUUGGACUAUGAAGGCGGCCAAAUUUCUGAUGAUGAAAUAGAAGAUUGGUAAGAAAUAUUGAUUGCAUCAGAAGUAAGCUAUUUGUUCCAACAUUUGUAAAGUAAUCCAAUUGCCGUUUCUGUACUCAAGCCUUCAGAAAAUGAAUGUAUAUUUUUUUGUUCCAGGAUUACAUCUUGUGAUUUUGAAAAUUUAUGUUCAAUUUCUAGUUGAAGGUAUAUACUAAAGUGGAAUCAGUUAUACCGGGAAACUGUUGCUAUUGAUGCUGGUAAACAAAUUGGAUUUUUGUUAUUUAAUAAUUCAAAUGUACAGGAGUUUUUUGGGAAAUGGAUGAGUACUAGAAGAGCAACAUAGCCAAAGGGA